UGACGUUGGGAAAGCGAGCGGCGGAUGGGUGAGUAACACGUGGGGAACCUGCCCCUAAGUCUGGGAUACCAUUUGGAAACAGGUGCUAAUACCGGAUAAUAAAGCAGAUCGCAUGAUCAGCUUUUGAAAGGCGGCGUAAGCUGUCGCUAAGGGAUGGCCCCGCGGUGCAUUAGCUAGUUGGUAAGGUAACGGCUUACCAAGGCGACGAUGCAUAGCCGAGUUGAGAGACUGAUCGGCCACAUUGGGACUGAGACACGGCCCAAACUCCUACGGGAGGCAGCAGUAGGGAAUCUUCCACAAUGGACGCAAGUCUGAUGGAGCAACGCCGCGUGAGUGAAGAAGGUUUUCGGAUCGUAAAGCUCUGUUGUUGGUGAAGAAGGAUAGAGGUAGUAACUGGCCUUUAUUUGACGGUAAUCAACCAGAAAGUCACGGCUAACUACGUGCCAGCAGCCGCGGUAAUACGUAGGUGGCAAGCGUUGUCCGGAUUUAUUGGGCGUAAAGCGAGCGCAGGCGGAAAAAUAAGUCUAAUGUGAAAGCCCUCGGCUUAACCGAGGAACUGCAUCGGAAACUGUUUUUCUUGAGUGCAGAAGAGGAGAGUGGAACUCCAUGUGUAGCGGUGGAAUGCGUAGAUAUAUGGAAGAACACCAGUGGCGAAGGCGGCUCUCUGGUCUGCAACUGACGCUGAGGCUCGAAAGCAUGGGUAGCGAACAGGAUUAGAUACCCUGGUAGUCCAUGCCGUAAACGAUGAGUGCUAAGUGUUGGGAGGUUU
This 769-nucleotide ribosomal RNA is filed under the name uncultured bacterium. RNAcentral describes it as "bacterial SSU rRNA". It matches the Rfam family "Bacterial small subunit ribosomal RNA", at positions 78 to 833 of the family's 1533-position model. The record is from RNAcentral.